UACGUAGGGAGCAAGCGUUGUCCGGAAUCAUUGGGCGUAAAGAGCGCGUAGGCGGCCCUGUAAGUCCGUUCUGAAAGUCGGAGGCUCAACCUCCGAAAGCGGAUGGAUACUGCAGGGCUAGAGUCCGGAAGAGGCGAGUGGAAUUCCUGGUGUAGCGGUGGAAUGCGCAGAUAUCAGGAGUAACACCAACGGCGAAGGCAGCUCGCUGGGACGGUACUGACGCUGAGGCGCGAAAGCGUGGGGAGCAAACAGG
Molecule: ribosomal RNA, 253 nt
Filed under: uncultured bacterium
Lineage: Bacteria
Description: partial 16S ribosomal RNA
Rfam family: Bacterial small subunit ribosomal RNA
Source: RNAcentral